GCCGGGGUGGCGAAAUUGGUAGACGCACUUGGCUUAGGACCAAGCGGAGUGAUCCAUGGAGGUUCGAGUCCUCUCCCCGGCA
Molecule: transfer RNA, 82 nt
Filed under: Patescibacteria group bacterium
Lineage: Bacteria
Description: tRNA-Leu
Rfam family: tRNA
About the family: Transfer RNA (tRNA) molecules are approximately 80 nucleotides in length. Their secondary structure includes four short double-helical elements and three loops (D, anti-codon, and T loops). Further hydrogen bonds mediate the characteristic L-shaped molecular structure. tRNAs have two regions of fundamental functional importance: the anti-codon, which is responsible for specific mRNA codon recognition, and the 3' end, to which the tRNAs corresponding amino acid is attached (by aminoacyl-tRNA synthetases). tRNAs cope with the degeneracy of the genetic code in two manners: having more than one tRNA (with a specific anti-codon) for a particular amino acid; and 'wobble' base-pairing, i.e. permitting non-standard base-pairing at the 3rd anti-codon position.
Source: RNAcentral